Molecule: ribosomal RNA, 913 nt
Filed under: uncultured archaeon
Lineage: Archaea
Description: bacterial SSU rRNA
Rfam family: Archaeal small subunit ribosomal RNA
Source: RNAcentral
GACUGCUAUUCGGGUAAGACUAAGCCAUGCAAGUCGAAUGGAACAGCUUGUUCCAUGGCGAACUGCUCAGUAACAAGUAAUCAACUUACCCUUCAGUGGAGAAUAACCUCGGGAAACUGAGGCUAAUACUUCAUAGUUGGAAAUUCCUGGAAAGGUUUUCCAUCGAAAGAUAUUUCUAAAUGCGGAAAAUUCGCUGAAGGAUAGGAUCGCUUUCGAUUACGGUUGUUGGUGAGGUAAUGGCUCACCAAGCUAAUGAUCGAUAAGGGCCGUGAGAGCGGUAGCCCUGAGAUGGAUACUGAGACAAUGAUCCAGGCCUUACGAGGCGCAGCAGGCGCGAAACCUUUACAAUGCACGAAAGUGUGAUAAGGUUACCCGGAGUGCUAAAAUUAAAUUUUAGCUGUUAUAGGUGUGUAAAUAACUCUAUGAGAAAGGAGAGGGCAAGGCUGGUGCCAGCCGCCGCGGUAAAACCAGCUCUUCAAGUGGUCGGGAAUAUUAUUGGGCUUAAAGUGUCCGUAGCCGGUUUGGUAAGUUCCUGGUUAAAUCUGGCAGCUUAACUGUCAGUCAGCUAGGAAUACUACUUUACUAGAGGGUGGGAAAGGUUUGAGGUACUCCAGGGGUAGCGGUGAAAUGCGAUAAUCCUUGGGGGGCCACCAGUGGCGAAGGCGUCAGACUGGAACACGCCUGACGGUGAGGGACGAAAGCCAGGGGAGCGAACGGGAUUAGAUACCCCGGUAGUCCUGGCCGUAAACGAUGCGUGCUAGGUGUUGGUAGGGCUUUGAGCUGUAUCAGUGCCGUAGGGAAACUGUUAAGCGCGCCGCCUGCGAAGUACGCUCGCAAGGGUGAAACUUAAAGGAAUUGGCGGGGAAGCACCACAAGGGGUGAAGCCUGCGGUUCAAUUGGAUUCAACGCCGGA